Molecule: ribosomal RNA, 468 nt
Filed under: uncultured bacterium
Lineage: Bacteria
Description: partial 16S ribosomal RNA
Rfam family: Bacterial small subunit ribosomal RNA
Source: RNAcentral
GACGAACGCUGGCGGCGUGCUUAACACAUGCAAGUCGAACGGAAAGGCCCUGCUUUUGUGGGGUGCUCGAGUGGCGAACGGGUGAGUAACACGUGAGUAACCUGCCCUUGACUUUGGGAUAACUUCAGGAAACUGGGGCUAAUACCGGAUAGGAGCUCCUGCUGCAUGGUGGGGGUUGGAAAGUUUCGGCGGUUGGGGAUGGACUCGCGGCUUAUCAGCUUGUUGGUGGGGUAGUGGCUUACCAAGGCUUUGACGGGUAGCCGGCCUGAGAGGGUGACCGGCCAAAUUGGGACUGAGAUACGGCCCAGACUCCAACGGGAGGCAGCAGUGGGGAAUAUUGCACAAUGGGCGGAAGCCUGAUGCAGCAACGCCGCGUGCGGGAUGACGGCCUUCGGGUUGUAAACCGCUUUCGCCUGUGACGAAGCGUGAGUGACGGUAAUGGGUAAAGAAGCACCGGCUAACUACGUG